Non-coding RNA from Cyanistes caeruleus (blue tit), 912 nucleotides. Lineage: Eukaryota; Metazoa; Chordata; Aves; Passeriformes; Paridae. The record is from RefSeq and is a predicted model, not a curated record.
CACUCUGGAGAGCAUUUCCAUUACUGUGAGCUGUUAGUUCCACUCAAUAGUCACUCCUUGGAAACAAUGGUUUGAUGGGCUGGGACAUGGAUUGUUAUAUUAAGCAAGAAAAUAACUUGAACUGCUCCUGUAAUUACUCUGCAUGCAGUCAGUCUCGGGAUUUCUGGCAAGCUCAUCUUCAUUUCUACAUAUAUAAUGUUACGGUACUUAGCAUUUCUGUAACAUGGCAUUACACCUUCAAAUUGUUUCCUAGUUAUUAACUAAUUAAUCUCAUAACACCCCUGUAAGGUAUAUCUGUUUGUUUCUGCUUGGGUGACUGUGUGGAGGAUAAUAAUAUGUGGCUUGAAUAUUAACAGACAUAAAGUAGUGUAUUGCAUUUAUAGUUGGUGCUUUGUUUUCAGGCCUUAUUUUGGUUUAACCCUGGCUGGCAGCCACUCACUUGCUUCCUCUCAGCAGGAUGGAAGAGAGAGCCAGAAAGGGUUUGUAUGAAGCAGCACCAUUUAUCCUGUCACUGAAAGAAGGAAACAGAGGCACUUGGCGAAACUAUAAAGAAUUGUAUAUCAACCAUGGAGGACAAACAGGGAAGAGGAAGAGUAGGGUGCCCUGGAAGCUGUGUUGAUUAUCAAAGAAUACCUGUUUUGGCAGAUAAGCUGCAAGUGGAGCUUGGAGUUACCAAGGAAUAGUUUGAGUCAUGACAAGCAUCAUUAGACAGUUCUCUCCAAGGUUUUGGCUAGGUCACUGACUAACUGUGAAUUUGGGUCAAGGACCUGACUGGGUAAAGCAGCCUCAUUUAUCAUCUGCCAUGGCUGAGAUAACAGCCAUCAGUUCAUUUGACUAGCUGAGGAGGGAACAACUUAUUUUGGUUUAGUAAUGAUUUGAGAGCCUUAUCAAUAAAAUUACCAACACUCUUCA